Molecule: long non-coding RNA, 528 nt
Organism: Zea mays
Lineage: Eukaryota; Viridiplantae; Streptophyta; Magnoliopsida; Poales; Poaceae
Exons: 2
Source: RefSeq, a predicted model, not a curated record
AACUCACUUCUCAAUUAAUAUGCAGUGAUCAGCAGACGACAGUGCUCCCUGACGCUGGGAUUUCGCUCAGAACAGAAGCUACCACGAUAAUGGGAUCUAGUGACAAGAUUAUGGAAUAUCGAAAGGAAAAAAUUAGGAAAUUCAUGCAAUUACAACAAAAAGAAGACGAUGAAUUGUUUUUUGUAAUAGUUCCUGCCAUACUUCAGUGCCUUAAUGAUGAGAAAAGGCCAGUUCAUACUUCUGAAUAUACUGGUGCUAAAAAGAUGAAGGAAAUUCUAGAGGGGCAUGAGAGUUGGUGUAAGUCAGAGUUUCGUAUGGAGCCCGAGAUUUUAAGGCAACAUGCAACUAUCUUAGGCAACAUGCAACAUGAGAGUUGGUGUUUACAAGCUGAUGGCUGCAGAUGGUGCUUCAUUUUUGGCUUCUUUGUAUCUGGUUUUGAGACAUUGUAGUGAAGGUUGACAUGAGAAACUCUUGUAUGAACUUUGGAAUGGUUAUCUUUGGACUGCCUUGUGACAAUUUACCUUUUUA